RNAcentral lists this transfer RNA (68 nucleotides) under Sitona obsoletus. Its description in RNAcentral is "tRNA-Val". The record is from RNAcentral. Lineage: Eukaryota; Metazoa; Arthropoda; Insecta; Coleoptera; Curculionidae.
CAAAUUAGAGCUUGAAUUAAGCAUUUUAGUUACAUUAAAAAGAUUAUUAUUAAUAUAGUAUAAUUUGA